AUACAGUUAGAAAACUUUCAUUUAAAUACAAAUUGUUAAUACCUCUUCAACUUGUUUCUUUCAGCAGGUCAGUGAAAAAAAAAAACAAAAACAAAACAGUUUGAAACACGGAUGUCUUGUUGGGAUUCCUGUGAUUAACUGAACACUUCAUUUAUAACUCCGUAUGAUGAGACAGAUAAUAUCCUUUUCAAAAGAGCAGAGAGACAACUUCCUGAAACUGAUCUGAAAACUAUGCGUACCUGGGACUGCCCUUUUGUUUUCCCUGGAUCCAAUCAUAAGCAUUCCAGUGAAAAGCUUUCUCCUCCUCCUCACCUGACUGAGAGACCUUAAGAAGUUAAAACAAAAUAAGGUAAUGAUGUCUAUUGCUGAGAAGCUAACACUGAUGCCAUGGGACAGCUUGGACUGAAGAGCUCAGAUAUGAUAAAGAGGAUUUUGAGUUUCUUACAAGGUCUUUCAGAAUAAAUAAAAGAAUUCCAAUGAGAUGAUCUGUCUA
RNAcentral lists this long non-coding RNA (493 nucleotides) under Coturnix japonica (Japanese quail). RNAcentral's name for it is "lncRNA (ENSCJPG00005004713.1)". Lineage: Eukaryota; Metazoa; Chordata; Aves; Galliformes; Phasianidae. The record is from RNAcentral.